AAUAAAGAUAAGCAACCGGAAAAGGAAGAAGAGGAGGAGGAGGAGGAAGAGGAAGGUGAUGCUGUUGUUGUUAAUUUACCACCAGAUGAUGCUUCAGUUGCUGAAGCAAAACCGGUUGGGCUUGCUGUUGCUGGCGCUGGAGGUGUUGCAGCAAGUAAACCAGUCGCGACAGCUGUAGUUGGUCCUGCAGGAUUAGCAAUAGCACGCCCAGUUGGAACCGCAAUAGCAGGAGUCGAUCCCGAACAAGCUUUAGUACCAAUUUUUGCUCAACAAUACGUUAAACCAUCGAAAAAACGAGGCGAAUCUAACAAUAAAAAACAAAUUUCUUCCAGCGAUCUUUUAAACAAGAUUAUUUCGAAAUAUCAUCAAAUAUAAUAAUUUAAAUUAUUUUUGUGUAAUACCUUAAGAUAAUAAUAAAGAAUUAGGCUUUG
Onthophagus taurus is the source of this 431-nucleotide non-coding RNA. The record is from RefSeq and is a predicted model, not a curated record. Lineage: Eukaryota; Metazoa; Arthropoda; Insecta; Coleoptera; Scarabaeidae.